This 149-nucleotide ribosomal RNA is filed under the name uncultured bacterium. RNAcentral's name for it is "partial 16S ribosomal RNA". It matches the Rfam family "Bacterial small subunit ribosomal RNA", at positions 366 to 507 of the family's 1533-position model. RNAcentral also lists the same sequence under 1 other name. The record is from RNAcentral.
GGACAAUGGGCGAAAGCCUGAUCCGGCCAUGCCGCGUGUGUGAAGAAGGUCUUCGGAUUGUAAAGCACUUUAAGUUGGGAGGAAGGGCAGUUACCUAAUACGUAAUUGUUUUGACGAUACCGACAGAAUAAGCACCUGCUAACUCUGUG